RNAcentral lists this ribosomal RNA (495 nucleotides) under uncultured bacterium. RNAcentral's name for it is "bacterial SSU rRNA". It matches the Rfam family "Bacterial small subunit ribosomal RNA", at positions 903 to 1397 of the family's 1533-position model. The record is from RNAcentral.
AAAGGAAUAGACGGGGGCCCGCACAAGCGGCGGAGCAUGCGGAUUAAUUCGAUGCAACGCGAAGAACCUUACCAAGGCUUGACAUACACCGGACCGCGCUGGAGACAGCGUUUCCCUUCGGGGCUGGUGUACAGGUGGUGCAUGGUUGUCGUCAGCUCGUGUCGUGAGAUGUUGGGUUAAGUCCCGCAACGAGCGCAACCCUUAUCCUAUGUUGCCAGCACGUGAUGGUGGGGACUCAUGGGAGACUGCCGGGGUCAACUCGGAGGAAGGUGGGGAUGACGUCAAAUCAUCAUGCCCCUUAUGUCUUGGGCUUCACGCAUGCUACAAUGGCCGGUACAGUGGGUUGCGAUGCCGUGAGGUGGAGCUAAUCCCUAAAAGCCGGUCUCAGUUCGGAUCGAAGUCUGCAACUCGACUUCGUGAAGUUGGAGUCGCUAGUAAUCGCAGAUCAGCAAUGCUGCGGUGAAUACGUUCCCGGGCCUUGUACACACCGCCCGU